UACAGAGGAUGCAAGCGUUAUCCGGAAUGAUUGGGCGUAAAGCGUCUGUAGGUGGCUUUUUAAGUCCGCCGUCAAAUCCCAGGGCUCAACUCUGGACAGGCGGUGGAAACUACCAAGCUGGAGUACGGUAGGGGCAGAGGGAAUUUCCGGUGGAGCGGUGAAAUGCGUAGAUAUCAAGAGGAACACCUGAGGUGAAGACGGGUUGCUGGGCUGACACUGACGCUGAGGCGCGAAAGCGUGGGGAGCAAACAGG
This 253-nucleotide ribosomal RNA is filed under the name uncultured bacterium. RNAcentral's name for it is "partial 16S ribosomal RNA". It matches the Rfam family "Bacterial small subunit ribosomal RNA", at positions 524 to 776 of the family's 1533-position model. The record is from RNAcentral.